Gasterosteus aculeatus aculeatus (three-spined stickleback) is the source of this 702-nucleotide long non-coding RNA. NCBI's taxonomy places the organism in Eukaryota, Metazoa, Chordata, Actinopteri, Perciformes, Gasterosteidae. The record is from Ensembl.
CAAAAGUAUCAGUUAUUUCAUUUUGCCUGUGCAUGAUGGCAAGUAUGUCUCCAGAUGCGUCUAGAUUGUUUCGAUUGUAGGUUGUAUAAUGCCUUUCUUCCUCCUUUAACUGCAGAGUCCCUGAUUGGUACUGCCCAUGCUGCAUUCCCAAUAUACUGUUCUCCUGCUGUUGGUCAUUGGGGCUGCACUGAUGUUGCGAAGAAGGUUUCAACCAUUGCUCCGUUUCCUUUAGUCGGACAUCCAUAGACUGGUUUAUCGGGUGGUACCAGGUAUUUUGUAAAGUGGUGUUGUUUCUUAUCCUCUUCUUUCUCUCUGCCAUAGGGUUUAAGCAGUCCAAUGAUUGCCCUUCCCUUCCUUCAAAAUAGGAAGCCAUGCCAUCUGUGGGUCCGUGUGAAACACUUCUUUGGUCUGAGGCCUGUAAUACUGCCAGCAUAGCGGUUGAAGCGGCUAAUUCGGUAUCCAGAUCGAGCUGCUCUCUUUUUAUCCUCAGCUGUUGCUCCUGCUCCCCCAAAGCAUGCCUUUCCUUUAAGAAUGAUGCACGUACAACAAGUGCAGCUCUUUUUGCCUCCACCCUUAACUGUACAGAGGAGCAGACACUGCGGUCAACUCAGCCGACACUCGGAUUUCCGUGGUCAACUCAAACGACGCUGGAAUUUUAGUGCACUUGUAUGCUGAUAUUUACGGUAUUGAACAAGUAAUCGG